GGGGCGCCGCUUCGGGAGCGCGGGCAGUUCUAGGAGGCCGACCUGCAGAACCUCCCGGUUCCCCUUCCCCUUUUCUCGGACCCCGCGGGGACACCCCCUCGCCGCCACCCGGGCCUCCCCGAAGGCCCGAUGGCGGGUCCAGGCGGCCCGGCCCAGCCAAAAGGGAAGUGGGGCUACCCCACAGCCAGGCCGCGGGGCCGGGGGCAGACCGGGAGCCGGAGGUUGGAGGCGUGCGACCGUCACCUGCGGGCAGGUUCCGGAGGGGAGACCCGGGGCUGCUGGGGACGCCCCUGCGUGGCACCUACCCGGCCUUGGCGCACUGCCAGUCCAAGGCGGGGGGAUCACUUGAGCACAGGAGUUAAAGACCAGCCUGGGCAGCAAAUGUUACCUGGCUGCAUGACCAUUCACUUCUGGGCAGAGCCAGUGGAAGGCAAGGAAGACUCAAGGAAUAGCCCUUGAGGGCUCAGGAGCCAUACAGAUGGGAUAGAGGGUGCGAGUGGAUGAUCAGGCCUGUUGGUCUGAAGACAAAGGGAAUGAGGACAAAAACAUUUCUGGAAAUGGAGAAGAUACCUGGGCCUCUACAGGGCACAUUUCCAGAGCCACUUCCAGGCAGGGACCCCGGCAGAGAGAUGCUGGGGCCAGGACACAGGCUGGCUUGUGCUUAUCUUCCCUCCGCUGGGGGGAGGUCGAGGAGAGAUCUGGCCCCUCUGCUCCGCCCUCCUGAUUUCCCGUCUAAGGGAUUUAGGAGACUCUCGCCUUUUCCUAAUCUCUCUCUCUGCAGAAUUUCUGCGAAGUCAGAAUCCCAUUUCCAGGCAAAGGUGCUUGGUCAUAAAGAUAAUAAAGAUAUUCAUUCACGAUGGAGGGG
Non-coding RNA from Callithrix jacchus (white-tufted-ear marmoset), 865 nucleotides. NCBI's taxonomy places the organism in Eukaryota, Metazoa, Chordata, Mammalia, Primates, Cebidae. The record is from RefSeq and is a predicted model, not a curated record.